CCCCCACCCACCCACUCACCACCACACACCCCGUGGUGCCCGAAGCAGUUUUCUUCCACCAGCUCGCGAUCCGCAUUCGGGCGCCGGUCUGUUCUUCCCAUCGCUCCCCGGCUCGCGAUCCGUUUCCUGAGGCCGCUUCGCCGAUCCGGGGACUAGCACCGCCUGCCGCCAGCUGCUGGCCAGCCCCUGCAUUCCCGACACCGCCGUUGCCCUCGCCGUCGACCAGGACAGCAGUGCCCCUGCCACCGCCGUUGCCCUCGAUGUCGAUCUCGCGUCUAACCCGGCAACAAGCUUCCCCCUGCCCCCGCCAGAUCCGGCACCUAACUCCCCGCGCCCAACCCCUCUCCCCCCAAGCCAGCGCUCGACAUCCCACUUCUGCGCUUGAACCCCCUCCCCCCGCGCUGGAUUUUGCGUGUUCCACGGAGGCCCCGAGCUCGUAUUCUGUCGGCUGUUUUCCAUCUUUCCAUCCCUAUCUCGCCUGGGUUUGGAGACAGAUUUGCGGCGUUGAAGAUCGGCGGCGCCAGGUUUCUAUCUUUUUCCUUCGCCGUGGAUUUGACUGGAUAAAUGAGACGUGAAGCCCUCCUGCGCAAGGAUGAAUUCUCGAAGAAGAUUAGUGCACAUGAUUCAUAUCAAUCCGAGGAGUGUGGUCUUUGAGAGCUCCCACGAGGUGUUUGUGGUUCCCCUCCAUGAUCAGGGAGGGCUGGUUGUAGGGAUGUCAAAGUCAGAAGAAUGGUGGAAAAUGUUGUACUAGACUUAGUAUUAGGUGCAACCCUGGAGAUGUGGUAUUGAGAAUUCAAUUGCUCAAUCCUGAUCAGUAUGUGGCCAUCGAGGCUCUCGGUUUUGGUCACUGGGACGGAAGCAGUUAAGUUUAGGAAUCAGCUGAUUCAGGACCUGCAGGAGGAGAUCUUGAAGGGACAGCCGGACAACCUUAGCUGCAUCCUUCUUCAUGAUUCUUUUCAACUGGUUUUUGUUCCCCACAAGUAGCUAUAACAUUGAUUUGAGCCAGAUCAAAAGGGCAAUGCAUCCUGAAACUUUCUGUGGAAUAGACUGUGCCCAAGCUGUAUUCCAUGAAUAGUUUGUAGUUCGUAGAUGGCAAAGAAUUGUCCCAAAUAAUUUAUGUCUGCACUUGUCUCCUGAUCAUAAGUUUUCUUCGGACCGAAUUAGGUGCAGGGAUAGAGCCGAUACGUACAGCUUCCAACCAUUUAAGAGCUGGGCAAGAACUUGUUACGUUGCAGCUGACAGUGCACCGGAUGAAUUUUGCAAAUGGACAUGAAGUGCAUCAGAGAAGGUGGCCUGUUAUUAUUGAUUAGUUCAGAUAAAGUCCCUCGCUGGUGAUGGCAUCUUGAUAAAUUUUCUUUUCCUCGCACAAUUGACACAAAGGUGACAAUCUAGUGGUGAAGGCUUGCUCAAGAAAUGGGCACAACCAAUAGCAUCUCAAACUCUGGCUAACUCUGGCUAACAUAGGCAAAGAGCUAGUCUUUCACUUUGGUUGAUAAGAAUUCCGAUGGCUGAGUUCUGGGAAAUUGAUUUGCGAAGUCUAGUCAAGAGCAUCUAGGCGGGGAUGUAAAGUAUAUGGGCCUGGUACCCAUAUCCUGCUAGUAGCAUAGUGCACAUUUUUCCUUAUGACGAAUCUAGUAUUUGGUGCAACAGAUAUUCGCUGUCUGAUCAUAUUUGCCAACUUUUCCUGCAGCAUUUAUUUCACUAUUUACUGACACGUCAAUUUAGCAAAGCAUAAACAUUUCUUCUUUGGAAUGUAAAUCAUUCAGCCAUGUGCAGAAUGACAUGGACUUCCGACAGAAAAGUGCAGAGCGUGGACACGUGCCCCAGCAAUACUUGCUGGGCCCACCACUUGGCAACUAUCGUCUUUCAUGCGCAUCAAACAAGCAGGUUGGCCGGUUGCUCGGGGAAGGAAAAAAACCAAGGCGCGUGUAAAGAAAAAAAAACCGCUUGCGGUGGCUUCGGCCCGGCGCUCGAGGGACGGAUGGUGUGCUCGGGUAGGGAAUAGUUAUUUCAUACC
This is a long non-coding RNA of Panicum virgatum (switchgrass), 2017 nucleotides long. RefSeq lists it as uncharacterized. NCBI's taxonomy places the organism in Eukaryota, Viridiplantae, Streptophyta, Magnoliopsida, Poales, Poaceae. The transcript has 8 exons. The record is from RefSeq and is a predicted model, not a curated record.